CAAGCAAUUUAACAGGACCUCUUAAGGCCUCGGCGGCAUUUUUGGAAGCACCUCGGCUGGCCUCUUGAGAGCCUCGAUUGGACCAAUUAGGGCUUCAAUGGACAUCCUUGAAGGCACGUCGUCAGGCACUUCGGCCAUCUUUGAAGGUACUUCGGUUUACCUUUUAGGGAUCCUUGGCUUGGCUUUAGGCACCUUCACUGAGCUUUGGAGGCACCUCAUUGACCCCCUUGAGAGCCUCAAUUGAAUUAGUGAAUUAUUGUGGUGUCUCCUUGUGGCAUUUCAUAUUCGACCAGCAACAAUACUCCCUUAAGUUGGAGUUUUACAUUCAUGUGCGGGUCGAACUUUCUUUGUACUUGCAAUUUUGUGAAGUUUUGGCAAUUCCAGUGGCGGAGCCAUUUAGGCCCAAAAUUUUAUUCUUUUUUUUUUAAAGCAACAGGGGAGGUGGAAUAAAAACAUGUUUUAAUUUACAUGGGUUUUAUUUUUAGGCCCAAACCCAUGAUUUUGUUUUAUAGUUUUAUCAUCAUUAAAUUC
Molecule: long non-coding RNA, 531 nt
Filed under: Olea europaea (common olive)
Lineage: Eukaryota; Viridiplantae; Streptophyta; Magnoliopsida; Lamiales; Oleaceae
Description: long non-coding RNA (OEUR_LNC001812)
Source: RNAcentral